GAAAGGGUGCGAAUACCGACGCACCUGGGUGGCGCGAAGCGCAACCCCUAUUAAA
Molecule: non-coding RNA, 55 nt
Organism: Dorea sp. CAG:317
Lineage: Bacteria; Bacillati; Bacillota; Clostridia; Lachnospirales; Lachnospiraceae
Source: Rfam